Molecule: ribosomal RNA, 493 nt
Filed under: uncultured bacterium
Lineage: Bacteria
Description: partial 16S ribosomal RNA
Rfam family: Bacterial small subunit ribosomal RNA
Source: RNAcentral
ACGAACGCUGGCGGCGUGCUUAACACAUGCAAGUCGAACGGUGAAGCGCCUUCCUUUUUGGUGGGUGUGGAUGAGUGGCGAACGGGUGAGUAACGCGUGAGUAACCUGCCCCCUUCUUCUGGAUAACCGCAUGAAAGUGUGGCUAAUACGGGAUAUUCUGGGUCUGUCGCAUGAUGGGUCUGGGAAAGAUAUUGUUUCGGUGGGGGAUGGGCUCGCGGCCUAUCAGCUUGUUGGUGGGGUGAUGGCCUACCAAGGCGGUGACGGGUAGCCGGCCUGAGAGGGUGGACGGUCACACUGGGACUGAGACACGGCCCAGACUCCUACGGGAGGCAGCAGUGGGGAAUAGUGCACAAUGGGCGCAAGCCUGAUGCAGCGACGCCGCGUGAGGGAUGGAGGCCUUCGGGUUGUGAACCUCUUUCGCCAGUGAAGCAGGCCUGCCUCGUUUGUGGGUGGGUUGACGGUAGCUGGAUAAGAAGCGCCGGCUAACUACGUG